Molecule: small nuclear RNA, 159 nt
Organism: Heterocephalus glaber (naked mole-rat)
Lineage: Eukaryota; Metazoa; Chordata; Mammalia; Rodentia; Bathyergidae
Gene: U4
Rfam family: U4 spliceosomal RNA
About the family: U4 small nuclear RNA (U4 snRNA) is a component of the major U2-dependent spliceosome. The structure of U4 snRNA from yeast and human has been reported. U4 snRNA presents a k-turn RNA motif in the 5p-SL related to recognition of Snu13 protein.
Source: Ensembl
AGCUUUGUGCAGUGGCACUACUGUAGCCAAUCAGGUUUAUCUGAGGCAUGAUUAUUGCUAGUUGAAAAGCAGACACAAAGGUGAUGUCAGUACCAUCUGUUUGUUGCUUUGCCAUGUUUAGUAGUUUUUCUAUAUGUUUUUUGUAGUUGGAAAAAUCCA